GACGUAGGGCGCGAGCGUUGUCCGGAUUUAUUGGGCGUAAAGAGCUCGUAGGCGGCUUGUCGCGUCGAAUGUGAAAACUCGGGGCUCAACUCCGAGCUUGCAUUCGAUACGGGCAGGCUAGAGUUCGGUAGGGGAGACUGGAAUUCCGUGGUGUAGGCGGUGAAAUGCGCAGAUAUCAGGAGGAACACCGGUGGCGAAGGCGGGUC
RNAcentral lists this ribosomal RNA (206 nucleotides) under uncultured bacterium. Its description in RNAcentral is "partial 16S ribosomal RNA". It matches the Rfam family "Bacterial small subunit ribosomal RNA", at positions 524 to 727 of the family's 1533-position model. The record is from RNAcentral.